AUAAAAUCGUUCUGGAGUCCCUGGCAUUUGCUCGCCACUGCAUAAUAGCCUAACCUGGUAUCAGGAGGACAGGGACAGAGCAUUUGAGGCCGAGGGAAGAAUGUGUACAAGCCCCUAAAGGUAGAAGAGAAAAAGAUACUUUCAAGAAGCUUAAAUAAACUGAGUGAUUUGGGGAACUAAGUAUUUAUACUAAAGGAGUGGCAGGAGCUGGAGCCGGAGAGGUAAAUGGGGUGUCUUCUGGAGGAUUCCGUAAACAAGGUAAAACGGUUUGGACUUAAGACAACGGGAAGGUUAAAAGAGGCUUUAUGUAGGGAAAUAACCUGAUCAGAUUUGGUUUCUGUAAAGGCUAUUUCUGAGCACGGCGUGGAGAAAAGAGCCGAAGGGGCAGGGGUGUCACGUUAGGAAGCUGUCGUAGUAAUUCCGGGUGACAGAUGGAAGCCUGAAUGGCCACGGGGAUGGGAGAGGUAGGCUAGUUUCGUAACUUUUGAGGAGGCAGAUUCGGAAGAACUUGGUUCUUUGCUAGAAACGGGGGCUGGAAGAGCAGACGGAGUCCCAGCUAAUGUGUCAGCUUUGGAGUUUGGUAACUGAAUGAAUGGCGGACUGACUCACUCUCUGAGCCACAGGACUUUGAAAGAGGAACAGAUUUAAGGGAUGAAGGUGAUUUGAGGUUUGGGGAAACACGGGCGCAAGGAGGAUAUUUGAGAACGAGUUGGUGCUGUUGAGGUUUAAUGGAGAAGGUCCAGCACGUGAGAACUUGUGUGGACUUUCCAGCAGGGGGAGCAAUGGCUCACGGCCCUGUCCUCGCGCUGGGCCACCCCUACUCUUCAUCCAAGCAUGCAGCUUCAGGGUAGAUGCACGAACAGAACAGAAAAGGCAAAGAAGACACACGCACACAACUGGGUAAUGACCCUGGUAAUGACGGUUGAGUCCUGGUUCCCACAUUCAACUGACGAUAGGACUUGGAGUGGCUCAUUGAACCUCACUGAACCUCAGAGCUUCUUGCCUUUUUGUGUAGGUACAGUGACCCCCAUGUCACAAAGACGUUGUGCCAGUCACCAGAAAUGGGGUUGGUGCAAGCACUUCGUAGACCCCGGAAGUGCUAUUUUAUGAAAGGACUAUGUGCGUAUAAGCACAGAGGCUUCUCUUCUCAGAAACGGAGACCAGGGCUGGCCCAGGAGCCCUGGUGGGUUUCCCAGUAUGCUGGAGUUGGUGAGAGAGCCAGGGUCCAAACGCUCUCCUGGUGUUUGGUCCUUAAGUAUUGGGCAGAUCACUGACUUUCUACAUAUCCUCUGUAUGCUUGACAAGUUGAGGUCAGAACAAGGGCCCCAAGCCUGAGCCUCA
Molecule: long non-coding RNA, 1341 nt
Organism: Leopardus geoffroyi (Geoffroy's cat)
Lineage: Eukaryota; Metazoa; Chordata; Mammalia; Carnivora; Felidae
Exons: 2
Source: RefSeq, a predicted model, not a curated record